CUCUAUCUUCUGCCAA
RNAcentral lists this small RNA (16 nucleotides) under Arabidopsis thaliana (thale cress). RNAcentral describes it as "ATSL245070". The record is from RNAcentral. Lineage: Eukaryota; Viridiplantae; Streptophyta; Magnoliopsida; Brassicales; Brassicaceae.